This 781-nucleotide long non-coding RNA is filed under the name Volvox carteri. RNAcentral's name for it is "long non-coding RNA (VCAR_LNC004343)". Lineage: Eukaryota; Viridiplantae; Chlorophyta; Chlorophyceae; Chlamydomonadales; Volvocaceae. The record is from RNAcentral.
UUUCGAUUUAAAUUAAUACAGUAAACUAAAAAACAAAAAAGAACUCACUCAAAGCUUUUUUACUCAGACAUUGCUGAUNUUAUACAUUUUUAUAGUAAUUUUAUUUAUUAAAUGUAUUUUUUUUGAGUUUCCUUAAUAAUACUAUAAUAUACCAGUACUAUAAUAUACCAGGACUAUGACGGUGCAUAGCAUAGCACCGGAAGAUCAAAGAACAUAGCAAUAUUUUUCACGUUACGUAUGUUUUUAAUAUUUAAAAUAAGAUAAAAUCUUUGCUUUAUGGUAAAAAAUUAAACGUAGUUAAACUGCAAUGAGUUCGUGGCACUUCGUUUACUACAACUAGGCUUAACGACGUUGUCCCCUUUGGUAACCCGGAGGGGAUGAAAAGCUACAACGUGCGUGAACACAGGCUUUCCGAGGGGGUAUUUUUUUUGCUUUGCCUUCCCCUAAAGGGGAACAACAUAGCGCAAUAUUUUUAGCUUUUUUACGGAAGGGCACCUUACUUUAACUACAUUAGGGAUUUUGCCUUGAACUACAUUGUUUUAAAUGAAUAACAAAACUAGCCCGCUAUAACCGUCAUUGUGGUUUGUUGGACUUUCUAUAACUUGUAGCGCGAGCUGCUAUUAAAACGCUGAUGCACCUUAGGCCACCGUAGGUUACGCGUACGGUAAUUGUAAGUACUCUUGUUACAAUGUAGCAAGUUAGAAGCUUUGCCGCGUGGGCGAUCACGCAUUUUUUUAGAAUAAGAAACAAAAAAAUUUAAAAAAGCGGAUUUUAAAAUUUU